This 191-nucleotide small nuclear RNA is filed under the name Myotis davidii. RNAcentral's name for it is "U2 spliceosomal RNA". It matches the Rfam family "U2 spliceosomal RNA". From Rfam's summary of the family: U2 is a small nuclear RNA (snRNA) component of the spliceosome (involved in pre-mRNA splicing). Complementary binding between U2 snRNA (in an area lying towards the 5' end but 3' to hairpin I) and the branchpoint sequence (BPS) of the intron results the bulging out of an unpaired adenosine, on the BPS, which initiates a nucleophilic attack at the intronic 5' splice site, thus starting the first of two transesterification reactions that mediate splicing. Lineage: Eukaryota; Metazoa; Chordata; Mammalia; Chiroptera; Vespertilionidae. The record is from Rfam by way of RNAcentral.
ACUGCUUCUCAGCCUUUUGGCUAAAAUCAAGCGUAGGCAUUCUGUUUUAAUCAGUUUAACAUCUGAUACAUCCUUUAUCUGUGGGCCACAUAUUGGAUGGAUUUUUGGAACGGGGAGAUGGAAUAGGAGCUUGCUCCGUCAAUAAACAAAAAAUUUCUCUCCUUACACACUAGACCAUCGUUCUUCUCCUC